This 275-nucleotide ribosomal RNA is filed under the name uncultured bacterium. RNAcentral describes it as "partial 16S ribosomal RNA". It matches the Rfam family "Bacterial small subunit ribosomal RNA", at positions 399 to 691 of the family's 1533-position model. The record is from RNAcentral.
GCGUGAGUGAGGAAGGCCCUAGGGUUGUAAAGCUCUUUCGGCGGGGACGAUGAUGACGGUACCCGCAGAAGAAGCCCCGGCUAACUUCGUGCCAGCAGCCGCGGUAAUACGAAGGGGGCAAGCGUUGUUCGGAAUUACUGGGCGUAAAGGGCGCGUAGGCGGCUAUCUUUGUCAGGUGUGAAAGCCCCAGGCUCAACCUGGGAAUUGCACUUGGGACGGGGUAGCUUGAGUUCGGGAGAGGAGAGUGGAAUUCCCAGUGUAGAGGUGAAAUUCGU